Molecule: ribosomal RNA, 497 nt
Filed under: uncultured bacterium
Lineage: Bacteria
Description: partial 16S ribosomal RNA
Rfam family: Bacterial small subunit ribosomal RNA
Source: RNAcentral
GAUGAACGCUGGCGGCGUGCUUAACACAUGCAAGUCGAGCGAAAGGACGAGAAGUUUGCUUCUUUGAUGUUAGCGGCGGACGGGUGUGUCACAUGUGUAUCACCUCCCUAUAUGUCUGGGAUCACCUCGGGAAUCCGGAGCUUAUCCCGGAUGAUCUUCUGAACCGCAUUGUUCAAUAGAGAAAUACGGUCUUGCUGUCACUUAUAGAUGCAUCUGGGCUUCAUUGGCUGGUUGUUAAGGUAACGGCUUACCAAGGCAACUAUGCAUAGCCGACCUGCGGGGGGGAUCGGCCACACUGGAACGGAGACACGGACCAGACGCCUACGGGAGGCAGCAGUAGGGAAUCGUCCGCAGAAGGCGAAAACCUUGCGGAGCAACGCCGCGUGAGUGAUGAAGGUCUUCGGAGCGUAAAACUCUGUUAUGAGGGAAGAACAUAUGUGUAAGUAACUGUACACAUCUUGACGGUACCUAAUCAGAAAGCCACGGCUAACUACGUG